Molecule: small nucleolar RNA, 123 nt
Filed under: Octodon degus (degu)
Lineage: Eukaryota; Metazoa; Chordata; Mammalia; Rodentia; Octodontidae
Description: Small Cajal body specific RNA 24 (ENSODEG00000022553.1)
Rfam family: Small Cajal body specific RNA 24
About the family: scaRNAs are a specific class of small nuclear RNAs which localise to the Cajal bodies and guide the modification of RNA polymerase II transcribed spliceosomal RNAs U1, U2, U4, U5 and U12.
Source: Rfam by way of RNAcentral
UGGACAUUUCUUUUUAUUCAGUUUCUUCUUGAGGUGAAGAUAACAUCUUAUGAAAGUCCUAGAGAAUACAGUAGCUUUCUGUUCACCCUUUGCAAGGUAUAAGGGUGUAUCGUUCUGACAUUU